Molecule: long non-coding RNA, 806 nt
Organism: Jaculus jaculus (lesser Egyptian jerboa)
Lineage: Eukaryota; Metazoa; Chordata; Mammalia; Rodentia; Dipodidae
Exons: 3
Source: RefSeq, a predicted model, not a curated record
CCUUGGGAGAAAUUGCUAAAACCACACUCUGAGCAUGUCAGAAACAUCAGAAUAUCUCUCAGACAAGGGAAGAGGAUCAAGUGAGACCUGAGGGGGGAGUCCCUUAACAUGGUAGCCAUGGUCCUGAAGGUCCCAAGGCUGCUCCAAGGCAUUACCUGACUCACAGCUGCGUUCUGGGAACGCAACAGCGAGGCCAGCACCUUGGCGGGUCUGCACUGAGCUCCUGCACUCAGGACCAGAAUCGCAAACACCGUUACGUCCUGGCAGUUCCCCUCCUAGGUCUGUCCCCAGAGACUGGAGAAUGAUCCUCACACAGAUGUUCAGAGCAGGCUUUUGGUCCAUACAAUGGAGACUAUUCAGCCAUGGAAAGAAGUGAAGUGCUCAUGCGAACUAUACCAUGGAUGCAUCUUGAAAAUAUUAUGUUAGUGAAAGAAGGCAGGCAGAAAAGGCCAUAAAUGCAUUUCAAGGAGGGGGGGAAGUGAAUUAUGUCAUGUGAAUUAUCUCAAAAUUAUAAUUAGAAACAAAGUAACAAGAUGAGCUCACCAGGAAGCAGCGCCCCUCGUCUGCUUUCUUACCUUCCCAUCAACCCGGAACAUUUAUCCAAACACUUGCACAUCCGCAGGCUGCAGUCUGGACUUGUCCAUAGGUGAUUCAGUCUGUUGUGCCUCCCAGCCACAUCGUUCCACACCAGCGGCCAUCCGUUCGGACCCUUCGUGGGAAUGCAGCUCUGAACACUCCUUGUGAUGGUUUUGCUGUGAGUAGGUGUUUGCGAGGCUUGGCUGAGACAGACCUCAAACUCCCCGGUC